Lethenteron reissneri (Far Eastern brook lamprey) is the source of this 766-nucleotide long non-coding RNA. RefSeq lists it as uncharacterized. Lineage: Eukaryota; Metazoa; Chordata; Hyperoartia; Petromyzontiformes; Petromyzontidae. The record is from RefSeq and is a predicted model, not a curated record.
GUUGGAAGUGAAACCUCAGCGAGCUGUGGGUGGGAUGUCGCGACUCUUCAACUGAAGGCGGCAGCAGGAGCGACAUAAAACGUGGUGCGUGCUGAGAACUGAGCAGACGGCGCCGUGGAUCUGUGCCAUGGACACGGGGACGAGGAGGCGUGCGGUGUGGAUGAGUGUUGUCAUCUGCAUCUUGUCCCGCAUCACGAGUGCUUAUUUACAGGCACCCUCCAGAAGGUAUUUUGUUGCUGUGGGACAGAAAGUCACCUUGACGUGUGACAUAACCACUCCAGGAUGGACACAGUACGACAAUCCCAAUAUCAGAUCUAUCACCUGGUGGCGUGGUGAAGGCGGUAGAGCAACCGAGAUCGAUUUAACAAACUCAGGAGAGGCCAGGAUAACAGUUACUAAGGAUGUUGAUCAACAUAGGGCUUCUAUCCGAAUCGCAAAUGUGCAGCACAGUGACGCUGGGUUUUACAGUUGCCUGGUUGAAAGGGAAUUUGGAACAGAGAGUCUCAUGAUGGAAAUUAUCACAAUGGAAGUUUCAGCCAACCCAUCCCGCUCUGUGACAGAAGGAGAGACUGUCACAUUGACCUGUCUCAUCUCAAAAAUUGUCUAUGGAACAGUUCUGGUUUGGUCUCAUGGUGACACUUACAUUGACAAAGGCAAUCGGCUGACACUGAACAAAGUAAAACGAUCUCAACAGGGAGAAUGGAAAUGUUUUCUACAAUACCAGCAAAACAGUCCCUUUGCCUCGUACAAAUUGGAGUUUAGAUCA